AUGGUUUCUUGUUUUAGAUAAGAAAUUUAACCUGCUCACUGAUUUUUAAAGAGCUGCAGUAUUGUGACUGUACAAAGGUAGCAUAAUCAUUAGUCUUUUAAUUGGGGACUCGUAUGAAAGGUUGGACAAGGAAAUUCUUUUUAAUUUUUAAUAUUGGAAUUUUCUAUUUUUGUACAAAAGCAAAAAUAAAAUUAAAAGACAAGAAGACCCUUUUAAGCUUAAUAAAGAUAUUUUAAAUAAGUCGGUUUAAAUAGAUUUAUUUUGCUGGGGCGGCAAGGAUAAGGAACAAUGGAGUAAAUAAAUAAAUGUGGUUAGAUUGCCUUAUGAGCCUUGAAAAGAUCUAAAGAAAAGCUACUAAAGGGGUAACAGCGUAAUGCUUUUUAAAAGUUCUUAUUGACAUAAGUGUUUGCGA
Molecule: ribosomal RNA, 412 nt
Filed under: Apfelbeckiella bulgarica
Lineage: Eukaryota; Metazoa; Arthropoda; Diplopoda; Julida; Julidae
Description: partial small subunit ribosomal RNA
Rfam family: Archaeal large subunit ribosomal RNA
Source: RNAcentral